UUGGAGGGAGGAACCCCUAUAGAGUUCCAAGGAGGCCGAUCCCCUAAAGAGAUCAACCUCAAGUUUAGAAUCUACAAGGGUUCUAACACUUGGUAUCAGAGCAGCGUUCUUGGCAUCUCGUUGCCCUUCCAUAGCCAUCCAUCAGCCAUCCACAACCGCCCAAAGCAAUUCCCACAAUUGCUUAAAGGAUCGUCGCCAAAUUCCACCAUCAUCUCCACCACCGUGGAUCAUCCCGUGAAUUGCAACAGGUUCUGGUUUCCUAUCUUACUGCUACUGCAAUUUAGUUAUCCCUAUCCGAAAAUCCAAAAAAAAAAAAAUUGUUCCUAUAUUGCUGCAUAAACUUUUCGUCACAAAGUUUUCAUCUCUACAACGAAAGAUACAUUACAGAAUUUCAGUCGCAUAGCACUGUUUGUUUGAUCUUGAUACUAUAUUUUCUCUGUCAUAUAAACUAAGAUAUUACUGUUAAUUCCCUCCUCAAAUCUCUCAAAUUUUUUGUGGAGAUUUCGUCGAGAAACCGCUGUUUCUUCGACGACAAUUUUGCUCUUACAAGACAACACAAUUCUGCAGCAAACUUUCACUGAUUUCUGUCAAACCUUUGCUGCCAUCCACCACAGAUCGAAAACUUUCAUCCAUAGCCCUAAAACUCCACCAAACCACACAUUCAAACUACACCCAAAAAAGCCACAAAACAAAUCUAAACCGCAUCCUACAUCUACCAAUCCACCGACCCUUUCAACCAUCACUUCUCUCAACCUAUACAUGCCUUUAACCCGUCAACAAAAGAGAGAUCUUAACAUCACAAAUUUAGAGUCAUAUACUAUGGCAUCUGAGGAGGCAAUCAAUGCUAAAUUUGAAGCCUUUGAGGCAAGAAUGGAGGAUAAGAUUCGGACUCUCCUUACUGAAUUCAGUUUGGGCCGACCACUAAGCCCGAAGAAAUCACAUCAAGAAGAGAGCUCUAACCAAUCACAUCAUGCCCAAAGAGAUGACUUCCAAAAGAGGGGAGGCUCUAUGACCGACCCCAACUAUUCGCGCAUGAGAGUGGACUUUCCUAGAUGGGAAGAAGGAGACCCAAUUGGUUGGAUCUCACGCGCGGAGCGAUAUUUUCGGUACCAUAAAACUACGGAUGCAUCCAUGGUGGAAAUUACAGCUAUACAUCUUGAAAGGGAUGCCAUACAAUGGUUUGACAAGUUUGAACACACUUAUGGAGUCCUUUCAUGGCGAUAAUUCAAAGAAGGACUACUGUUCCUCUUCGGACCAUCUUAUUAUGAGAAUAUUGACGGACAACUAGAAAAGAUCUGACAAACCUCCACCAUUGAAAGGUUAUCUAAUCAAACUCGUGAUUGGUUUGAAAAACAGCUAUUGAUGACCUUUAUUGAGGGCUUAAAGCCAGAGAUCCGGGGAGAAGUUAAGGCACAACAAUCAUACACGCUUAUGGCAGCCAUCUUUUUUACACGACUUCAAGAGGAGCGAUUGAACCAUGAAGCCCGGAGGACUAGGAUCACUCCUCGACCUACAAUACUAAAGCCCUCAGCCCCCCCUACUAUCAACCGAGUCCCUGCACCGAAAAGGUUAACAAGAGAAGAACUUCGGGAGCGAUCUGCGAAGGGGUUAUGUUGGCAUUGCGACGAGCCGUGGAGCCACGAGCAUCACUGUAGAAAAGGAAGACUUCUUAUGAUUGAACCAGUAGAAGAAGAGGUCAUUGAAAAUCUAGAAGAGAGCCUUGAAUAUGAAAUAGAAGAUAUAGAAGAAGAGCCACAACCGAUCGACAUUACGGUACACGCACUAGCCGGCUACUUAAACCGGCAAAUGAUGAAAGUUGGAGGCCUUCUCAAACAACAGCCGAUUACUGUUCUCAUCGACACGGGCAGCACUAAUAACUUCCUGAAUAGUAAGGUUGCUGCUCGGAUGACACUGAUAUUGAAGGUUGUAGCAAGUUCGAUGUAAAGGUGGCCGACGGCAGAAUCCUAAAGUGCGACCAAAGAUGCCUGCAAGUGAAACUAUUACUGCAAGACCAAGAAAUUAUCACCGAUUUCUUCCUCCUACCACUUGAUGAUUAUGAGGCAGUGCUUGGUAUAGAAUGGCUUACUACACUAGGUGAUGUCUCUUGGAACUUUUCUAAAUUAAUUAUGAAAUUCUACUAUAAGGGCAAACAGAUCAUCCUACGCGGGAAGCGCGGAAGCAACGUUACCACUGUUUCGACCCAACGAAUGGAGAAAGUUUUACACAAGGUAAAUGGUGACUUUUUGAUGCACCUCCAACAGCAACUAGAGGAGAAUAAAAUAGAAAUUGAAGAUCAAAAUCUUGCCCAUUUGCUUACUGAAUUUGUCGACAUUUUUGCUGAACCAUGCGGUCUUCCUCCUUCUCGAUAAUAUGACCAUCGAAUUCCAAUCCUUCCGGGCAAGCCACCUGCGAACACUCGACCGUAUCGAUAUCCUCACCUCCAAAAAGAUGAAAUUGAAAAGAUUGUAAAGGAGAUGCUUGAAACAGGGGUGAUUCGGCCAAGUUGCAGCCCCUAUUCCUCACUAGUGCUACUUGUACGCAAGAAGGACAGAACUUGGCGGAUGUGCAUCAACUACCGAGCUUUAAAUGGCAUCACCAUCAAGGAUAAGUACCCAAUACCAGUGGUGGAUGAACUUCUUGAUGAAUUAAAAGGAGCUCGAGUCUUCACGAAGUUGGACCUCCGAUCCGGUUACCACCAAAUUCGGGUAUGUGAAGAUGACAUUCCAAAAACUGCAUUCCGCACACAUGAUGGUCAUUAUGAAUUCUUGGUAAUGCCUUUUGGACUCACUAAUGCUCCUUCAACCUUUCAAAGUCUCAUGAAUGAUAUAUUUCGGAGCUUUCUUCAUCAAUUUGUGCUGGUAUUUUUCGAUGAUAUUCUCGUUUACAGCCCUUCUGUUGAGACUCAUUUUCAGCAUUUACGGAUUGUUUUGACGAUCCUUCGGGAGAAUACUCUUUUUGCUAAGCAACCAAAGUGCAGCUUUCUCCAAUAAAAAGUAGAGUACCUUGGGUAUAUAAUAUCAGAAGAAGGAGUGGUGGUAGACCCAACAAAAAUUGAGGCAAUGCAAGGCUGGCCGAAACCUACAAACGUGAAAUUACUAUGCGGGUUCCUUGGACUAACAGGCUACUACCGAAAAUUUGUUAAGGACUAUGGGAAGAUCAGUGCACUACUCACUUCUCUACUGAAAAAAGAUGCUUUCCAAUGGUCGGACAAAGCCUCUACUGCCUUCGAUAAACUUAAGGUAGCCAUGACAACGACGUUGGUGCUAGCGCUACCAGAUUUCAGCCGACCCUUCAUCAUUGAGACUGACGCAUCUAGAGUCAGAAUUGGAGUCGUUCACAUGCAAGAUGGUCGACCACUCGCAUACACUAGCAAGGCAUUAUCUCCCUCCAAUCAAAACAUGUUAGUAUAUGAUAAGGAGAUGCUCGCCAUUGUACACGUAGUAAUGAGGUGGAGACCCUAUCUGAUCAGCCGACGAUUUCAAAUUAAAACCGACCAUAAAAGCCUCAAGUAUUUUUUGGUGCAAAAGAUAUCAUCCUCUGAGCAACAAAAAUGGGUAACCAAACUUCUUGGAUUUGAUUAUGAAAUUAUUUACAAAAAGGGGAAAGAAAACGUUAUUGCAGAUGCACUCUCACGGCUACCUGAGCAAGCUAAGGUUUCAGCCAUCUCCCUUCCUACCACUAGUCUCCUAGUGGACAUUAGGGAAGAAUAGAAGAAGGAUCCAGAAAUCAGCAACAUUAUAAAAAAAUUGGAGGAGGAUCUAAGUGCAAUAGCCCAUUACACUUGGGAUUCGAGGGAUCUACGCUAUAAAGGUCGUAUUGUGCUUAUACCUGACUCCCCUUGUAUCACAAUCAUCCUGCAUGAAAUGCACUCCAUACCUUUAGUAGGGCACUCUGGAUUCCUAAGAACCUACAAAAGAGUGAAGCAAAAUUUUUAUUGUAGAGGGAUGAAAAAAAUUAUUGCUGAAUAUGUGGCACAAUGUGAUGUAUGUCAACAGCACAAGGGUGAAACUGUGGCAAAUCCAGGGAAACUACAACCACUACCUAUACCGGACUCGGUGUGGACUGACAUCUCCAUGAAGGGCUGCCACUUGCCAAAGGUAAAAGCACAAUUCUCAUGGUGGUUGAUCGACUUAAGAAAUAUGCUCAUUUUUGUACUGUGAGAAGUCCCUACACUACUGCUAGUAUUGCCCAAGUUUUUAUAGAAAAUAUUGUUAAAUUGCACGGGAUGCUGUUAAGACUCUAGCUAGGAGAGUCCUAAUUGAGAGGGACAUUAUGUUAGGACUCUAUUAGGACUCUAGCUAGGAGAGUCCUAAUUGAGAGGGACAUUCUGUUAGGACUCUAGCUAGGAGAGUCCUAAUUGAGAGGGACAUUCAUGUAGGAGUUUUUUCUUAGAGAAGAAUUUGGAGUUGUAAGGGAAUAGGAGUCUUGAGUAGGAGUCCUAUUAGGAGUUGGUUAGAAGUAAGAGUCUUAAGUAGGAGUCCUAUUAGGAGUUAGGGUUUAGAAUCCCUAUAAAUAGCCAUGUAUUCCUUCUCUUUUCUUAAGCAAUAGAUGAAUCUUUUCUGUAGCCUUUGAGUAGCAACUUGGAGGGAGGAACCCCUAUAGAGUUCCAAGGAGGUCGAUCCCCUAAAGAGAUCAACCCCAAGUUUAGAAUCUACAAGGGUUCUAACACCUGGUAUCAGAGCAGCGUUCUUGGCGUCUCGUUGCCCUUCCACAGCCAUCCAUCAACCCUCCACAACCAUCCAAAGCAAUUCCCACAAUUGCUUAAAAGAUCGUCGCCGAAUUCC
This 4784-nucleotide long non-coding RNA is filed under the name Musa acuminata (dwarf banana). RNAcentral's name for it is "long non-coding RNA (MACU_LNC008696)". Lineage: Eukaryota; Viridiplantae; Streptophyta; Magnoliopsida; Zingiberales; Musaceae. The record is from RNAcentral.